This 2898-nucleotide long non-coding RNA is filed under the name Homo sapiens (human). RNAcentral's name for it is "HSALNT0406807". The record is from RNAcentral. Lineage: Eukaryota; Metazoa; Chordata; Mammalia; Primates; Hominidae.
CUGCACGACCUGUACUUCAGUCACCAGACACUCCUCCAGGCCGGCUUUGCCCGCCUCCCAGACCACCUGCAGAGACGAGAGGAGGCAGGGGUCACACUGGAAACAAGCGACGCUCGCGGACGCCCUCGAGGGCUCACCUUCUGCAGAUCACGAAGACACAGACCAGGGCCAGCAGCGUCCCCAGCGCGAUCAGCAGCGACGUCCGCCAGGCCACCUGAGUACCAGGACCGGGAGCGACUUCCGGACCUCCCAGCCCCAGUCUGGAACCCUAAGGGAGCGGAAAGACCACCAGGGAUCCCUGUCUGCCUGGUGCUCGGGACACGGGGAGCGCCAGGGACUUCCACUGUGCCCAGCAGGCCGGCAGAGACCGGGUUUCACCGUGUUAGCCGGGAUGGUCUCGAUCUCCUGACCUUGUGAUCCGCCCGCCUCGGUCUUUAUUACAAGGCCCAGGGGGUGUCUGUCAGUGGGACGACCUUGUUUCCCCUCCACGUCUCCUCUCGAUUGAGUAGCUGGAAGGAGGUUCUGUCUCUGACCUGUGGUUUGAAAGAAAAUAAAGAAGAGGGGCCAGAUACUUCAAAUUACUUCUCCUAUGCAUUUGGAGAGCGGGAGAGAAAAACACCAGGAAGGAAGAGGGAACAAAGAAACUCUACAGGCAGAGACACAGGACUGAGCCGCGUUGGGGGCACUGGGAGGAGUGAGCCUUGGGGUUGCACCCUCGGAGCCCCACUGUCCUGGGAGCAGCCUUCAGAACCACCCUUUUGUUCUCUGAAGUACCAGGCGUUCAGCUUUUCCAAGGACUGGCAGCUGCACAUCUUUGUCCCUGCCCCUUCCAUCUCUAGGCUCAGCCCCGCUGGGCAGCCUGGCCCACUCCCCACCCCUGCCCAGGGCCAACCCCUACUUCCCAUGCCCCCUCUGCCCACCUGCAGCACACUGGAGCCUUGGAGGCCCUCUCUGCAUCAUUCAAGAUGCAGACUCCUACACUUUGACCUGCACACAUCCUCCUGAAGCUUCCACUUCCUGGCCCCUGCCUGGCUUCUCACCUCCCCCACCUCCGCCCCCCAGGGGAUGUGCCGCCUCUCCCAGUGGCCCAGGACAUCCUCCACUUCCCGGGAACCCCAGGCACUUCCACAUCCUCAGACACAGUGAGAAGAUGACCCUCUCUCCAAGCCAGGAAGAGACCUCCCGAGGAGCCCAGCCAGCCAGCACGCUGACCUCCAACGUCCAGCCUCUGGAAAUGUGAGAGGCCAACGUCUGCGUUGGGAGCCACGUGGUCCCGUGGGAUCUGGCCUGGCGCUAAAGCCGUGGGGAUACCGAAGGCUGCGCUCCUGCCCCGCACCAGGAUGUGGGAACUUUGAGAACCGCUGGAGAGUCGAGAGAUGUCAUCGAAACGACACCCGAUACGUGUUCCCUGAGCAUCCGUUUUGUAGUGAAGACACUCGUACUGUUGACGCCUGCUGCGGUAAGCGGAGACAGGGCAGGGCGAUCAGGAGCAGCGUGAGCCAAAGGAGGACCAUCGGGAACGCAGCUCCGGAACGCAGGACAGAGGUGCCUGCUGCAGGAGAAACGAGAGUCAGGCAGCGGGGACUGGCUGUGAAACUGGGUUGCGGGUAAUGAAGGAUGCUUGCCCCUUCCAGAGCCUGGUGCUCACAGCAGAAGGAGCUGCUUCUGGAGGGAAAGCGGUGAACAUUGUCACGACCCCAAAAGGAGACUCCAGACCCAUUAAAGACCCGUCCUUCCUCUUCCCCAGCCUGUGGCAACCACUCAUCCACUUUCUGUCUCUGUGGAUUUGCCUGUAUCUGGACAUAGGGAAUAAAUGGAAUCAUACAGACACUAUGUAUCUUUUUGUAUCUGGCCUCUCUCAGGAAGCAUGAUGUCCUCAGCAUUCACCCACAUUGCCACCUGUGGCAGAGCCUCGUUCCUUUUCAUGGCUGUGUAAUAUUCCACCGUGUGGCUGGACCACAUUAUAUUUCUCCAUUCAUCUAUAGAUGGGUAUGAGGACUCUCUCCACCUCUUGGCUAGUGUGAAUAAAGCUGCUUAUUCCUUUUCAUGGCUGUGUAAUAUUCCACCGUGUGGCUGGACCACAUUAUAUUUCUCCAUUCAUCUAUAGAUGGGGUAUGAGGGCUGUCUCCACCUCUUGGCUAUUGUGAAUAAAGCUGCUUGUUCCUUUUCAUGGCUGUGUAAUAUUCCACUGUGUGGAUGGACAUUAUAUUUUUCCAUUCAUCUAUAGAUGGGUAUGAGGGCUGUCUCCACCUCUUGGCUAUUGUGAAUAAAGCUGCUUGUUCCUUUUCAUGGCUGUGUAAUAUUCCACUGUGUGGAUGGACAUUAUAUUUCUCCCUUCAUCUAUAGAUGGGGGUAUGAGGGCUGUCUCCACCUCUUGGCUAUUGUGAAUAAAGCUGCUUGUUCCUUUUCAUGGCUGUAUAAUAUUCCACUGUGUGUCUGGACCACAUUAUAUUUCUCCAUUCAUCUAUAGAUGGGUACGAGGGCUGUCUCCACCUCUUGGCUAUUGUGAAUAAAGCUGCUUGUUCCUUUUCAUGGCUGUAUAAUAUUCCACUGUGUGGCUGGACCACAUUAUAUUUCUCCAUUCAUCUAUAGAUGGGUAUGAGGGCUGUCUCCACCUCUUGGCUAUUGUGAAUAAAGCUGCUUGUUCCUUUUCAUGGCUGUGUAAUAUUCCACUGUGUGGCUGGACCACAUUAUAUUUAUCCAUUCGUCUAUAGAUGGGUAUGAGGGCUGUCUCCACCUCUUGGCUAUUGUGAAUAAAGCUGCUUGUUCCUUUUCAUGGCUGUGUAAUAUUCCACCGUGUGGCUGGACCACAUUAUAUUUAUCCAUUCGUCUAUAGAUGGGUAUGAGGGCUGUCUCCACCUCUUGGCUAUUGUGAAUAAAGCUGCUUGUUCCUUUUCA